RNAcentral lists this antisense RNA (69 nucleotides) under Actinophytocola xanthii. Its description in RNAcentral is "ASpks TB sRNA". It matches the Rfam family "ASpks TB sRNA". The record is from Rfam by way of RNAcentral. Lineage: Bacteria; Bacillati; Actinomycetota; Actinomycetes; Pseudonocardiales; Pseudonocardiaceae.
CUUCACCGAGGCCAGCAGCGCCGGCCGGUCGCGGCCCUGCCCGUAGGUCGCGAGCAGCGCCUGCGCCUC